AUUGAACGCUGGCGGCAGGCCUAACACAUGCAAGUCGAGCGGCAGCACGGGUACUUGUACCUGGUGGCGAGCGGCGGACGGGUGAGUAAUGCCUAGGAAUCUGCCUAGUAGUGGGGGAUAACGUCCGGAAACGGGCGCUAAUACCGCAUACGUCCUACGGGAGAAAGUGGGGGGUCUUCGGACCUCACGCUAUUAGAUGAGCCUAGAUCGGAUUAGCUAGUUGGUGAGGUAAUGGCUCACCAAGGCGACGAUCCGUAACUGGUCUGAGAGGAUGAUCAGUCACACUGGAACUGAGGCACGGUCCAGACUCCUACGGGAGGCAGCAGUGGGGAAUAUUGGACAACGGGCGAAAGCCUGAUCCAGCCAUGCCGCGUGUGUGAAGAAGGUCUUCGGAUUGUAAAGCACUUUAAGUUGGGAGGAAGGGCAGUUACCUAAUACGUGAUUGUUUUGACGUUACCGACAGAAUAAGCACCGGCUAACUCUGUGCCAGCAGCCGCGGUAAUACAGAGGGUGCAAGCGUUAAUCGGAAUUACUGGGCGUAAAGCGCGCGUAGGUGGUUUGUUAAGUUGGAUGUGAAAGCCCCGGGCUCAACCUGGGAACUGCAUCCAAAACUGGCAAGCUAGAGUAUGGUAGAGGGUGGUGGAA
RNAcentral lists this ribosomal RNA (645 nucleotides) under uncultured Pseudomonas sp. RNAcentral describes it as "bacterial SSU rRNA". It matches the Rfam family "Bacterial small subunit ribosomal RNA", at positions 28 to 666 of the family's 1533-position model. The record is from RNAcentral. Lineage: Bacteria; Pseudomonadati; Pseudomonadota; Gammaproteobacteria; Pseudomonadales; Pseudomonadaceae.